AGAGUUUGAUCCUGGCUCAGGAUGAACGCUGGCGGCGUGCUUAACACAUGCAAGUCGAACGAACCUUCGGGUUAGUGGCGGACGGGUGAGUAACGCGUGAGAAUCUGCCCUCAGGAGGGGGAUAACGGUUGGAAACGACCGCUAAUACCCCAUAUGCCUACUGGUGAAAUGAAUUUCGCCUGAGGAUGAGCUCGCGUCUGAUUAGCUAGUUGGUGAGGUAAUGGCUCACCAAGGCUUCGAUCAGUAGCUGGUCUGAGAGGAUGAUCAGCCACACUGGGACUGAGACACGGCCCAGACUCCUACGGGAGGCAGCAGUGGGGAAUUUUCCGCAAUGGGCGAAAGCCUGACGGAGCAACGCCGCGUGAGGGACGAAGGCCUCUGGGCUGUAAACCUCUUUUCUCAAGGAAGAAGAUAUGACGGUACUUGAGGAAUAAGCCACGGCUAAUUCCGUGCCAGCAGCCGCGGUAAUACGGGAGUGGCAAGCGUUAUCCGGAAUUAUUGGGCGUAAAGCGUCCGCAGGCGGCUUUUCAAGUCUGCUGUUAAAGCGUGGAGCUUAACUCCAUCAUGGCAGUGGAAACUGAAAGGCUUGAGUAUGGUAGGGGCAGAGGGAAUUCCCGGUGUAGCGGUGAAAUGCGUAGAUAUCGGGAAGAACACCAGUGGCGAAGGCGCUCUGCUGGGCCAUUACUGACGCUCAUGGACGAAAGCCAGGGGAGCGAAAGGGAUUAGAUACCCCUGUAGUCCUGGCCGUAAACGAUGAACACUAGGUGUCGGGGGAAUCGACCCCUU
RNAcentral lists this ribosomal RNA (786 nucleotides) under marine metagenome. RNAcentral describes it as "bacterial SSU rRNA". It matches the Rfam family "Bacterial small subunit ribosomal RNA", at positions 8 to 841 of the family's 1533-position model. The record is from RNAcentral.